ACGACGCUGGCGGCGUGCCUAAUACAUGCAAGUCGAACGGUCUUUCUAUGGAAGCUUGCUUCCACUGAGAAGAUAGUGGCGGACGGGUGAGUAACACGUGGGUAACCUGCCCAUAAGAGGGGGAUAACAUCCGGAAACGGGUGCUAAUACCGCAUAGUUUUUCUUGAUCGCAUGAUUGAGAAAGGAAAGACGGCCUUUGUGCUGUCGCUUAUGGAUGGACCCGCGGCGUAUUAGUUAGUUGGUGAGGUAAUGGCUCACCAAGACGAUGAUACGUAGCCGACCUGAGAGGGUGAUCGGCCACAUUGGGACUGAGACACGGCCCAAACUCCUACGGGAGGCAGCAGUAGGGAAUCUUCCGCAAUGGACGAAAGUCUGACGGAGCAACGCCGCGUGAGUGAAGAAAGGUUUUCGGAUCGUAAAACUCUGUUGUCAGAGAAGAACAAGUUGGAGAGUAACUGCUCCAGCCUUGACGGUAUCUGACCAGAAAGCCACGGCUAACUACGUGCCAGCCGCCGC
RNAcentral lists this ribosomal RNA (516 nucleotides) under uncultured bacterium. Its description in RNAcentral is "bacterial SSU rRNA". It matches the Rfam family "Bacterial small subunit ribosomal RNA", at positions 32 to 518 of the family's 1533-position model. The record is from RNAcentral.